AAUUGAGUACACAAUGUUAAAAUUUCCCAAUUCUUCUAUCUCCAUUUUCUAAGCCUGCAUCAAAACAUGAGCAGCAAUCAAUUUUCAUUUGGAGGGUUCCAUUUCAUAUCAAAGGAAUUAGAAGCAACCCAACCAUAUCAAAUCACAAAAAGUUUGAAAACACAAUAGGAUUCCCUUGGCUGGUCUUGAAUCCCUAACCAUCUGCUGGCUUCUAUUGCGUCGGUUGUAGGGAGAUCCAAAAUUUUCAUGCUCGACGACUUCAAGCUUUGAAGAUCUUUGGUUUAUGCACAAGUUCAUAGCUAUACAGGCUUCGUGUUAUUGUGUGCAUAUCGCUGAUUUUGUUGUAGGGGAUCUGCAAUACAACAAAGGGCUUGCUUUGACCGAGAAUUUCAAACAAUUUUUUUGAGAGAAGGAUACUGGCCAGUAAAGUACAAUAGAGAUUGAAUUCCCUAAAGGUUUUGGCCAAGAAAGGAGAAGAUACUUCGACUUAAAGGAGAACGAGGAUGACCCUUUUGCUAGAUCAACAUUCUUCUGAGAAAGUGAUACUUUUGUUGGCAUUGGCUGGAAAAUUGGAUCACGAAUUGACAGUAGACAAGGGUUAUAAAAUGAUUUAAAGCAUAUUUCAUGUAAUUAUUAGAUAGGGAAAGAAAAAAUGACAUUUUCUUCCAAAUAUAUUAUGUGAAUUAAGUUACAUGGCUAUUUUCCUAAGAGAAUUGGUAUUGUACUACUGAUAUCAAGUUUGAGGUCAGUUUGAGGAAUUAAAGGCUUUGCUAAGGUUGGGUGUUUUCGUUAGAGAACUUCAUUUGUAGGAUGGAGUUGGAAGUGAAUUCUUAGAAUCAGGUUCAAUGCUAUUUGGGCUGUGUAGUAGCUUGGCUAUUAGUUAUUAAUUCUUCUAUUUUUAUA
Long non-coding RNA from Lotus japonicus, 903 nucleotides. RefSeq lists it as uncharacterized. The transcript is spliced from 3 exons. The record is from RefSeq and is a predicted model, not a curated record. Lineage: Eukaryota; Viridiplantae; Streptophyta; Magnoliopsida; Fabales; Fabaceae.